UAACCACCAGGCUACCCUGCCACCCCAACGCUCUAACCACCAGGCUACCUGCCGCCCCAACGCUCUAACCACUAGGCUACCCUGCCACCCCAACGCUCUAACCACUAGGCUACCCUGCCACCCCAACGCUCUAACCACUAGGCUACCUGCCGCCCCAACGCUCUAACCACUAGGCUACCCUGCCACCCCAACGCUCUAACCACCAGGCUACCCUGCCGCCCCAACGCUCUAGCCACCAGGCUACCCUGCCGCCCCAACGCUCUAACCACCAGGCUACCCUGCCGCCCCAACGCUCUAACCACCAGGCUACCCUACCGCCCCAACGCUCUAACCACUAGGCUACCCUGCCGCCUCUACACUCUAACCACUAGGCUACCCUGCCGCCCCAACGCUCUAACCACUAGGCUACCCUGCCGCCCCAACGCUCUAACCACCAGGCUACCCUGCCACCCCAACGCUCUAACCACCAGGCUACCCUGCCGCCCCAACGCUCUAACCACCAGGCUACCCUGCCACCCUGCAUGUUUAAUUUGUAUUUUUGCCUUUAUGAUGAUGAUCGGGACCUGUUAACGGUUUAAUUUAGUAAAAAAUAAAAUAAAACAGUUUUCGGUUAGACAUGUUUUCUAAACAUUAAUGAUCCCAAAUGCGUUUAAAUGUUCAAAUGUCUCAACCUUAGUUAGGGGGCCCCCCUAGAUUUGACUCCAAAUCCAAUAUGGCUGCCACAUUACCAUUAAAUGGUGCUUUAAUUCUUGAAAAUCUAAGCUGACAUAUGGUAUUGUUUUAAGAAGGCCAUACCAUGGAUCAUUUAGCUAUUUGAUAUUGAAUUGUAGGACCCCUGAUGAAAUAUUGAAUUUGGCCUUUACUACUGUAGCCCAUAGAAAUACAGUAAAAAAAGGUUUUGAAGUGUCUGUCCUAUAGCCAGGAGAUACUGUAUAAGAACGCUCAGGAAAUAUAUAUACACUACCAUUCAAAAGUUUGGGGUCACUUAGAAAUGUCCUUGUUUUUGAAAGAAAAGCGAAAAAAAUUGUCCAUUUAAAAUAACAUCAAAUUGAUCAGAAAUACAGUUUAGACAUUAAUGUUGUAAAUGACUACUGUAGCUGGAAACAGCUGAUUUAAAAUUAAAAUAAAUGAAUAUCUAUGUAGGCGUACAGAGGCCAUCACUCCUGUGUUCCAAUGGCACAUUGUGUUAGCUAAUCCAAGUUUAUCAUUUUAAAAGGCUAAUUCAUCAUUAGAAAAC
Molecule: long non-coding RNA, 1237 nt
Organism: Oncorhynchus tshawytscha (Chinook salmon)
Lineage: Eukaryota; Metazoa; Chordata; Actinopteri; Salmoniformes; Salmonidae
Source: Ensembl